Molecule: ribosomal RNA, 1297 nt
Filed under: metagenome
Description: SSU rRNA
Rfam family: Eukaryotic small subunit ribosomal RNA
Source: RNAcentral
UUUUUGGGCUUGGUAAUUGGAAUGAGGGAGAGUUAAACGGACCAUCGGGUAUCCAUUGGAGGGCAAGUCUGGUGCCAGCAGCUGCGGUAAUACCAGCUCCAAUAGCGUAUAUUAAAGUUGUUGCAGUUAAAAAGCUCGUAGUUGGACUUGUGUGCGCUGUCCGCGGGUGGCCUGCGCCCAAAAGGGCGUUUCGGUUCGGCCCCGGUGGCGCCUUGAAAUCUGCAGCUGGGGGGACGUUGGCCUUAACUGGUCGGCGACCGCACGCCGGCUGCUCGGUUACUGUGAGAAAAUUAGAGUGUUCAAGGCAGGCAUUGGGUGCAAUUGAAUACAUUAGCAUGGAAUAAUAAAAUAUGGCUCCUGCCGUAUUUUGUUGGUUUUGACCGGUGGGAGUAAUGAUUGAUAGGGACGGUUGGGGGUGCUAGUAUUGAGCGGCCAGAGGUGAAAUUCAUGGAUUCGCUCAAGACUAACUUAUGCGAAAGCAUUCACCAAGGACGUCCUCUUUAAUCAAGAACGAAAGUUGGGGGAUCGAAGACGAUCAGAUACCGUCGUAGUCUCAACCAUAAACUAUGUCGACUUGGGAUCGGCGGUAGUUUUUUCAUUAAGACACUGUCGGGACCACGGGAGAAAUCAAAGUGUCUGGACUCUGGGGGAAGUAUGGUCGCAAGGCUGAAACUUGAAGGAAUUGACGGAAGGGCACCACCAGGAGUGGAGCCUGCGGCUUAAUUUGACCCAACACGGGGAAACUUACCAGGUCCAGAGAUGUAGAGGAUUGACAGAUUGAAGCUCUUUCUUGAUCACUUCGGUGGUGGUGCAUGGCCGUUCUUAGUUGGUGGAGUGAUUUGUCUGGUUAAUUCCGUUAACGAACGAGACCUCAGCCUGCUAGUGUAGUCGGCUGGAUUGCCUUUGGCGAUCCGUGAUUUCGACUUCUUAGAGGGACAAUCGACGCGCAGUCGAUGGAAGUUUGAGGCAAUAACAGGUCUGUGAUGCCCUCAGAUGUUCUGGGCCGCACGCGCGCUACACUGCUGGGCUCAGCGAGUUUUACUUGGCCGAGAGGCCCGGUUAAUCUUGUGAAAUCCCAGCGUGCUUGGGCUCGCCUCCUGCAGCUGGAGGCGCCAACGAGGAAUUCCUAGUAGACGCAGGUCAUCAACCUGCAUCGAUUACGUCCCUGCCCUUUGUACACACCGCCCGUCGUUCCAUAAGAGUGAGGCAUCCGGUGAAUUCUCGGGAGAGCCUGGGCGUGGCCAGCAAUGGUCUGCUCGGGUUUGAACUUGCAUAAACUUGGUGCCUAUGAUUAGGG